This 1491-nucleotide ribosomal RNA is filed under the name uncultured prokaryote. RNAcentral's name for it is "partial 16S ribosomal RNA". It matches the Rfam family "Bacterial small subunit ribosomal RNA". The record is from RNAcentral.
AGAGUUUGAUCCUGGCUCAGGAUGAACGCUAGCGGCAGGCUUAACACAUGCAAGUCGAGGGGUAACGGGAGUGCUUGCACUCGCCGACGACCGGCGCACGGGUGCGUAACGCGUAUACAAUCUACCCUUUACUGGGGAAUAGCCCAGAGAAAUUUGGAUUAAUGCCCCAUAGUACAUAUAUAUGGCAUCAUAUUUAUGUUAAAGGCUACGGUAAAGGAUGAGUAUGCGUACCAUUAGUUAGUUGGUAAGGUAACGGCUUACCAAGACUGCGAUGGUUAGGGGCCCUGAGAGGGGGAUCCCCCACACUGGUACUGAGACACGGACCAGACUCCUACGGGAGGCAGCAGUGAGGAAUAUUGGACAAUGGGCGAGAGCCUGAUCCAGCCAUGCCGCGUGUAGGAAGACUGCCCUAUGGGUUGUAAACUACUUUUACAUGGGAAGAAUAAGGGUCACGUGUGGCCUUAUGACGGUACCAUGAGAAUAAGGACCGGCUAACUCCGUGCCAGCAGCCGCGGUAAUACGGAGGGUCCGAGCGUUAUCCGGAAUUAUUGGGUUUAAAGGGUCCGUAGGCGGGCCGUUAAGUCAGGGGUGAAAGUUUGUGGCCCAACCAUAAAAUUGCCUUUGAUACUGACGGUCUUGAGUUAUAGUGAAGUUGCCGGAAUAUGUAGUGUAGCGGUGAAAUGCAUAGAUAUUACAUAGAACACCGAUUGCGAAGGCAGGUGACUAACUAUAUACUGACGCUGAUGGACGAAAGCGUGGGGAGCGAACAGGAUUAGAUACCCUGGUAGUCCACGCCGUAAACGAUGGAUACUAGCUGUUCGGUCUUCGGACUGAGCGGCCAAGCGAAAGUGAUAAGUAUCCCACCUGGGGAGUACGUUCGCAAGAAUGAAACUCAAAGGAAUUGACGGGGGCCCGCACAAGCGGUGGAGCAUGUGGUUUAAUUCGAUGAUACGCGAGGAACCUUACCAGGGCUUAAAUGUAUUUUGACAGGUUUAUGACAGCUUUAGAGAUAGAGUUUUCUUCGGACAGAUCACAAGGUGCUGCAUGGUUGUCGUCAGCUCGUGCCGUGAGGUGUCAGGUUAAGUCCUAUAACGAGCGCAACCCCUGUUGUUAGUUGCCAGCACAUAAUGGUGGGGACUCUAACAAGACUGCCGGUGCAAACCGUGAGGAAGGUGGGGAUGACGUCAAAUCAUCACGGCCCUUACGUCCUGGGCUACACACGUGCUACAAUGGCCGGUACAGCGGGCAGCCACUGCGCAAGCAGGAGCGAAUCCACAAAACCGGUCACAGUUCGGAUCGGGGUCUGCAACUCGACCCCGUGAAGCUGGAAUCGCUAGUAAUCGGAUAUCAGCCAUGAUCCGGUGAAUACGUUCCCGGGCCUUGUACACACCGCCCGUCAAGCCAUGGAAGCCGGGAGUGCCUGAAGUCCGUCACCGUAAGGAGCGGCCUAGGGCAAAAUUGGUAACUAGGGCUAAGUCGGAACAAGGUAGC